Molecule: transfer RNA, 53 nt
Filed under: Varanus salvator ziegleri
Lineage: Eukaryota; Metazoa; Chordata; Lepidosauria; Squamata; Varanidae
Description: partial tRNA-Trp
Source: RNAcentral
AGAAAUUAAGGUUAAUUAAACCAAGGACCUUCAAAGCCCUAAAAAAGAGUACA